Molecule: long non-coding RNA, 17827 nt
Filed under: Marmota monax (woodchuck)
Lineage: Eukaryota; Metazoa; Chordata; Mammalia; Rodentia; Sciuridae
Source: RNAcentral
UUGGUAUACAUUGAUUUUUGUAUCCCAUAACUUUUCUGAUUUUUUGUUUUAGUUCUAAUAGGAUUUUGUGUGUGUGUGUGUGUGUGUGUAGAGACUUUAGUCUUUCCUAUAUAUAAGAUGAUGCAGUCUGCAAAAAGGGACAAUUUUAUCUCUCCCUUUCCCAUUUGAAUGCCAUUUAUUUAUUUAUUGGCUGAAUUGCUCUGACUGGGACUUCCAGAGCUAUAUUGAAUGGAAGAGAUGAGAAGGGGUAUCUUUUCAUUGUUCCUGAUCUCAGAAACUAAAAGCAUGUUUUUAGAUUAUUUUUUUUUUUUUUACCAUUGAGUGUGAUGUUAACUGUGGGCUUUUCCUAUAUGACCAUUAUUAUGUUGAGGCUAUUUUCUUCUAUUUUUAGUCUGUUGAGGGUUCGUAUUUUGAUGUGGUGCUGAAUUUUGUCAAAUGCUUUUUUUUUUUUAAUCUACGGAGAUGGUCAUUUAUCAUUUAUUUAAUGUUGUAUGUCACAUUAAUUGAUUGGCAUAUGGUAAACCAUCCCCACAUCCCAGGAAAACAUUCUACUUGGUCUUGAUGUACCUUCUUUUUGAUAUGCUGUUGAAUUUGGUCUUCUAGUAUUUGUUCAGAACUUUUGCAUCCGUAUCUAUCAGGGAUAUUGGCCUAUACUUUCCUUUCCUUAUAAUGGCUCUGCCUAGCUUUGUUAUUAGGGUAAUUCUGUCCUCAAAAAUGAAUUUGAAGUGUUCACUUCUCUUCAAAUUAUUGAGGAGUUUGAGAAAUGUUGGCAUUAAUACUUUCUAAGUUUCAUAGAAUUCACCCAUGCAGUCAUCUGGUCCUACACUUUCCCUGUGUUGGGAGGUAUUUGAUUGCUGUUUCCAUCUCUAUAGUAGCUACAAGUCUGUUAAGACUGUUUUUUUAUUUGUUCAUGCUUUAGUACUGAUAAGGUUAUAAUAAUUAUUCUUUUCCUCUAGGUUAUCUGGUUUGUUGGUGUACAAUUAUUUAUAUCAGUCCUAUGAUCCUUUCUGUGAUAUCUGUUGUGAUAUUAUUUCUUUCACUUGUGAUUUUAAGUCUUCUCUUUCUUUUCCAUCUUCGAUCCAGCUAAGUUUAUCAAUUUUAUUGACCUUUAAAAAAACAGCUCUCAGUUUCAUUGAUGAUUUUCUACUGUUUUUCUUUUUUUCUCUUUUUUUUUCUAAUUUUUGCUAAUUUGCUAACUUUGUAAUUUGUCUUUCUUUUUCUAUUUUGUUAGGUGUAAAGUUGAGUUAAGUGAGUUCUUUCUUCUUUUAUAAUGUAAACAUUUAUCACUAUGGACUCCCUCUUAGUGCUUUUUUUUUAACUGCUAUCUAUAUGCUUUUGUUCUUAGCAUUUUUGUUUUCGUUUGUUUUGAGAUAUUUCUUAUUUUUUUUUAAUUUCUGGGACCCAAAUGUUGUUGUAAACUUCCAUGUAUUUUUAAAUUUUUUUAUAUUUCUUCUUGCUUUUAAUUUCAUUCAAUUGUCAUUAGGAAAAAUACUGCUAUAAUUUCAAUCUUUGUAGAUUUAAGACUUUUUUUUUUUUGUAACCUAACAUGUACUUUAUCCUGGAGAAAUAACACAGGUGUGCUUGAGGAGAUUGUGUAUUCUAUUGAUUUUUUUCUUUUUAACUUUUCAAUUAUGUCAGUUAGGUCCAUUUGGUUUAAAAUGUUAUUCAAAACUUCUGUUUUCUUAUUGAUCUGUCUGAAUGUUCUGUUCUUUUUUCUCCCUUCAACAAUUCUUCUUGGUCACAUCUAGUGACUAUGAUCUCCCUAAGCUUCUUUUCAUUGGAGAAAGUCUUUCUCCCAUUAUUCUUUUUUUUUUUUUCUGUCCUUGAGGAAAAUGUUUAUUGGACAUUUUUAUUAUUAUAUUUCAUGUUUUCCUUAAACUUUUCUUUUUUUUAUUGGUUGUUCAAAACAUUAUAAAGCUCUUGACAUAUCAUAUUUCAUACAUUAGAUUCAAGUUGGUUAUGAACUCCCAAUUUUACCCCAAAUACAGAUUGCAGAAUCACAUCAGUUACACAUCCACAUUUUUACAUAAUGCCCUAUUAGUAACUGUUGUAUUCUGCUACCUUUCCUAUCCUCUACUAUCCCCCCUCCCCUCCCCUCCCCUCCCAUCUUCUCUCUCUACCCCAUCCACUGUAAUUCAUUUCUCUCCUUGUUUAUUUUCUCAUUCCCCUCACAACCUCUUAUAUGUAAUUUUGUAUAACAAUGAGGGUCUCCCUCCAUUACCAUGCAAUUUCCCUUUUCUCUCCCUUUCCAUCCCACCUCAUGUAUCUGUUUAAUGUUAAUCUUUUCUUCCUGCUCUUCCUCCCUGCUCUGUUCUUAGUUGCUCUCAUUAUAUCAAAGAAGACAUUUGGUAUUUGUUUUUUAGGGAUUGGCUAGUUCCCUGACUGUCUGANAUUAAGGAAUUUGGAGCCCGACCCUACAAUAUGUAGAUCGGAGCCAACUUUUUCUUCUAUCAGACGCAGAGUCUCUGAUUUGAUAUCUAGCUCCUUGAUCCACUUUGAGUUAACUUUUGUGCAUGGCGAGAGGAGGGGAUUCAGUUUCAUUUUGUUGCAUAUGGAUUUCCAGUUUUCCCAGCACCAUUUGUUGAAGAUGCUAUCCUCCCUCCAUUGCAUGCUUUUAGCUCCUUUAUCAAAUAUAAGAUAGUUGUAGCUUUGUGGAUUAGUCUCUGUGUCCUCUAUUCUGUACCAUUGGUCCACCCUCCUGUUUUGGUACCAGUACCAUGCUGUUUUUGUUACUAUUGCUCUGUAAUAUAGUUUUAAGUCUGGUAUCGCUAUACCGCCUGAUUCGCACUUCCUGCUUAGAAUUGCUUUUGCUAUUCUGGGUCUUUUAUUUUUCCAUAUGAAUUUCAUGAUUGCUUUAUCCAUUUCUACAAGAAAUGCCGUUGGGAUUUUGAUUGGCAUUGCAUUAAACCUAUAGAGAACUUUUGGUAAUAUCGCCAUUUUGAUGAUGUUAGUUCUGCCUAUCCAUGAACAGGGUAUAUUUUUCCAUCUUCUAAGAUCUUCUUCUACUUCUCUUUUUAGGGUUUUGUAGUUUUCAUUGUAAAAAUAUUUCACCUCUUUUGUUAGGUUGAUUCCCAAGUAUUUUAUUUUUUUUUUUUGAGGAUAUUGUGAAUGGAGUGUUUUUCCUCAUUUCCGUUUCAGAAGUUUUGUCGCUGAUAUACAGAAAUUAAAGGCAUAAAAAUAGGAAAGGAAGAACUUAAAUUAUCACUAUUUGCAGAUGACGUGAUUCUAUACCUAGAAGACCCAAAAGGGUCUACAAAAAAACUACUAGAACUAAUAAAUGAAUUCAGCAAAGUGGCAGGAUAUAAAAUCAACACGCAUAAAUCUCCCAUUAUUCUUGUAGGAGAGUUUUUCCAGGUCUAUUCUUCUUCAUUGACAGCUCCCCACCCCGCACCAUCAGUCCUUUGCCCCACUAUCUUAGCCUGCAAACAUGGCACUGAAAAUUUACUGACAGUCUUGUAGAAUUUCUCUUACAUGUGACAAAUUUCUUUUUUCUUGAUGCUGUCAAAAUGAUCUCUUUUGUUGUGGUACUGAACCCAGGAGCAUUUUACCUGAGCUACAUCCCCAGUUCUUUUUAUUUUUAUUACUUUUUAUUUCUAUACAGUCUUGUUAAGUUGCUGAGGCAGGCCUGGAACUUGUGAUCCUCCUGCCUCAGCCUGUUGGGUUGCUGGGAUUACAGGAGUAUGCCACCACCCCUGGUUGCCUUUGACUUGUAAGAAGCUAAACUCAUGAGUUUGUUUUUAUCGGUUUUAUGGAAAUAAGAUGUUGAGUUUGUUUUGAAAUUGUCUACACUGUCUGUUUUCAAACUUAUUUUUGCUUUCAGCUGUCUUCAUCUACCUAUGUUCUUUCUAAAUUUGUAUCUCGAUCUUUCGUAUAGAAUAAAUUGGUCAAUUACUGUUUUUGUUUCUGUUGUUGUUGUCAUUUCUUUUGUGGAAUGGAACUCAUGGCCUCCUGCAUGCUAGGCAUGCACUGAGUUAUACCCAUUGAACUGUUUCUAGUUUUUUGAAAAGAAUGAAAUUAUUUAAAGACCUGUACUUAUCUUUCAGAACAAUUUUGAGCAUAGCUAAUAAAUUUUUCUAUAUAGUAUUCACCCUUUAGUCAUUUUAAAUCAUUCUAUGAUUUUGGUUAUGAUAUUGGUUUUCAUCUGACAACUAUUUAACAGAAUUAUUUUAACUAAGUUUUCAGCUUUUAUUUUUUUGCUACCAUUUUGUAAAUAAUUUCCAGUUUUGUUGCAGAUGUCAGAGAAUAAUACAUAACUUUUGCUUUGGCAAUUGUGAUUUUUAUUUAAUAAAUGACCAAUUUGGUAAAGACUUUAUGAGCAAUAGAAAAGGAAGUAUAAUAUUUUUGUAGGACAUAAUGUUAAAUACAUAGACUAUAGAAAUUUGCAUAAAAAUGAAGAAGAGACAAAAACUUCCCAAAUAAAUAAAAACUGAGGGAGUUCUUUGUCACUAGAUCCAAUUUAUAAGAAAUAAGACAGUAAAGAGACAAAAAUCCAGGCAGAAGAUUAAUAAGGAAGCAGGGGACUUGAAUAAAACUGUAAAGCAUUAAACAUUCCAAGCAACAGCAGCACACACUCAUUCACACACAGAGAGAAUAAUUUAUAGAGACAGUACUAUCUAGAUAACAUUUUAUUUUUUUCAACUAUUCUUCUUUUAUUCUUUUCUUCUCUAUCUCUCCUUCUGUACCAUUUGAUGCUUCAAGAACAAAAGUAAAUGCAAAAAAACUUACCCAUUUUCUUCUUGUUGUAUAAACUACUUUUUGCAUUUAUAAUAUUUCUGUUAUACACUUUUAUGCCCCUGAAGAUGAAUGUCAGUGAUUAUCAUAUCUUAUUACUACUCCAAUAAUGAUACAAAUACCAAAAAUUAUUAACAAUUUUUGAGCAUAUGCCUUGUGACUGGUCUUGAGCUAGAUGAAUUUUAUUUAUUUUCAUAAAACACUUGAAGGGAGGUAUAUUUAUUACUCCCAAUAAGGGAUAUUAAAUAUUGUAUCUUCUUUUAAAAACAUGUAUUAAUUAAACAACGUUUUGCUUCUUUUCUUUGGUACUGCUUCCUUAAUGUUAAUAUUGUGACUCUUGCUUUCUUUUUGUUUCUACUUGCCCUUUAUAUCUCUAUCUUUUAAUAAUUUAUCUUUUUUUAAUUAGCAUGAUGUUAAUAUAUAAUAAGUAUGUUUUGAAAAUGUUUGUGGAAUUAACAGAUCUUUUGAAAUAAGUUUUUAAAAUGCAUUGGAUUUUACUUGUGAUCCAAUGAGAGUUAUUAGAAGAGUUUAACUCAUUUACACUUAUUGUGUUAAUGUUAUGUUUGAUUUAUAUCUGACAUUUAGUGCUUUUGUAUUUUAAAAUUUUUUAAAAUUUUCUUUUGCUCUUAUAGUUGCCAAGUGAACUCAGUUAUUUGAUUAAAGAUACCUACAAAUUGGUUUGAAGAGUGUACCUCUUGUUUUUUAUUCCACUUUUUAUUGACAUCUGACUUUUCCUAUAGCUGAGUGCACCCACAUUUCUGGCAGAAUAAUUGAAGUAUUUAUUAUAGCUGCUGCUAACUAAGGCUUUACAUUCAUAAAUUUACAGCAGCCCGAAGUAAAUUCUGUUCAUGGUUGUGCAUUUCUCAUUUUGUUUAGGAUGUCAUUUGGACUAAUUUAUUAUUUUGAAAGUUAAGCAUAUUUGUUACAUUGCGUAGUCUACAGGUUAUUAGUCUUUUCCUAACCCUGCAACACAGAUUAAAUGAUAUAAAAUAUAUUUAUUGUUACAUACACUGUGAUACAAGUUUGGAGUAGAAAGAGGAGCAAAACUUACCACCUUUUUUCCUUAAAGUAUAAUUGGUAGGGGCACUACAUAUACAUCCAUAAAAAUUAAGUAACUAAAAAGUAUAUAAAUUAUAUCACCCAGAAUCCUAUACAAAUAAAUAUCAAAUGAGCAGUGUAUGCAAAAAGUGCAGAGGUUAGAAACAUUGCCUAUAGUAGAAAUAUUCAGAUGAAUCUUUUUCAGAGGGAGAAGGACUUAUGUGAUCUAAGAUGUGGAGACGGGCAGGUGCAUGGCAUGUUCUUGAGGUGGCAGCCUAAGAUCAUGGUCUCAGCAGGGGCUUCAUGGAAUUCAGAACGUUUAAUGGGGUAACUAAUAUUAUUCAAAUAUAUUCUAAGCACUUAGUACCUAUAUUUAUCUGUGUUCUCCAGAAAAAGUGAACCAAUAAUGUGUUAUAUGGAUAUAGGGAGAGAGAGGGUAAGAGAGGGGCAGGGGAGAGAGAAUGAAGAUGAGUAAGGAACUGGCUCACAUGAUUAUGGACACUGGGAAUUCCCAAGAUCUAUGAUCUGCAGGCUAGAUACCCUGAAGAGUUGAUGAUAUAAUUCUAGAGUAUGAAGGCAGAAAAAGACCAAUGUCUUACUUCUAAGAUGGUCAGAGAGAGAAAAAUUUCCCCUGCUCUACCAUUUGCUCUCAUUAGACAUUCAAUGCAUUAGAUAAGGCCCAUCUACAUUGGGGAGGGCAACUUGCAUUUCUACUUCAAAUGUUAAUCUCAUUCACGAACAUCCUCACAGAUACAUCCAGAGUAAUGUUUAACCAGUUAUCUAGGUGCCUUGUGGCUCAGUCAAGGUGAUACAUAAAAUUGACCAUUACUCAGAGGACAUACAAAGGCUCCUUAAUUAAGGUGUAAGAUCAAGAGCAUGGUCAGAGAAGGAUUUUAUGAGUGCCAGAGGUGAGUCUGAAGAGACAAGUAGGAGGUUUUAAGCAGGUAAAGUUUUAAAGUUUUAAGCAGGGCAGGAAAACUGGGAAGUGUUUUUUAGGGGGGAAAAACAGAGGUCUAAAGGCUUAAGGAUGCACGAGAGUACGGUGUGUUCCAUAAUUGUGGCUGUUACACUGUGACUGGCAUAUAGAACAUGAACAGAGGAAUCAGGUAUAUAAAGAGAGAAAGACUGGUCCAGACCAUGAGCAUGUUGGGUAGCACAUGGAGGCUAUGGGAGCUUUAGAAUAAUUUUGAAUGGGACAGUGAAUGGAAAGUGAAAGGCAGGUAGGGUGAUUGAGGGCAGGGAGGGUGGUGGGGGAAAAUCUUGGUUUAUUUCAAGGGAAAGGUAUCCAGGGGAUGAAUGCAGAGAGCAGCAGCCAUGAUAUAUCUGGGAAUAAGGUAUCAGAAGCUAUAGCCUGUAUUCCAAGUGGAUGACAAGGCUAAUAAGAAAUGGAAUAAAAGGAUGAUCUUUGGGAUCCUGGCUUGUGAAAAUGACUGAUGCCAGUUAAUCACUGUAGGGAAUACAGGAGGAAGAGAAGUUUCCAGGCCGGGGGCCAGUUUGGGGGUAGAGUGUGAAAAUUUCAUAUAGUCAGUACAUAUAUACAGCUUCAAAGUUUACUAAGUGUAGAAUAAUAGAGCCUUGAAUUUUGGCAUUUCUUUAAGGUUUCCUAGGUUUAUGACAUCGGUAAAAUUACUAGGUCAAUAAAGUAUGUAUAAAUGUACAGACUUGUUGAUGAAACAAACUUUUAUUUAGCUACCAAUCCCAUAAAUGGCCAGACAAUUAACAAUGAUAAAGUUUGUUUCAGUAACAAAGCCUUCCAAAGACAGGGAAAUUUGGAUGCCUUUCAACCAAAUAAAUUCCUUUCUUCUCAGAUGUCAUGUAAACUGAUGUCAUUUUCAUUCCAUCAAGCAAAAAAAAAGAAAAAAAGAAAGAAAGGACAAGAAAUGAAAGAAAGAUGAAACUUGCUCUGGUUUGCAGUAUUCCAGUGAUGGCAUGCUUCCUCAAAGUCAUCUAAAAAAAGACAUUGUGAGCAAACUAGUGUUUCCCCUGCCAGAAAUGCAUGCCUGGCCACAAUGCAAGCCUUUCAUAUUUGGCCAUUUAGAUAAUGGUUUCUACAUGAACUUUCAUAACAUUUAUUUACUGCUAUAAAUGAUUGGACCAACUGCUGUUGCAAUCCAGAAAUCCAGUUCUCCAGCAGUUAGAUUUCUCACUACAUUAUCUCAGCUUGAUAAAGGUCGUCCUGAAAGUAAUGUUUCCUGUCAAUACUUCAGGGGCAGUGUGAAAUGCCCUGGGCAUGUGUGUUUUGAAUGUUUACAGUUCUGCCUGCUUGCGAAGCACAUUAGCCUCACUCCGUGAAGACCAUGUUCCAGUUAUAAAUAUCUCAACUCCCCAGUCCCAAUUUUUUAGGGUGUAUCAACCACAUUUUCCUUCCCCUCCCAUCUGGCUGACUGAUUCACACUCUUCUGUGAAUUGUUGCAGCAGAAAAACAGCCAGGGACUGCCAAAUUCGGGAGACAAGGCUUUUUAUAUGCUUGUCCGGGCAAAAUGGUAAAAUGUGACUUGGGUUGCUCUGUGAAUGAGUGUUCACCAGGGUGGGGGUGUUGAUCAUACGAUGGAAGGAGAUCCCCUCGCUGUGAGAGGUUUCCAUUGGUGUGGCAGAGGUGACUGAUUUAGUGGCUCUGCUAUGCAGAGCUCUGACUUGAACCCUCACCACCCCCUCUUGCUCCCUACAUGCUGAAAGGGGGCUCCCUCAGGUUGAGCUGGUUAAACUGGCUGAACCACAGCCUUAAGGAGAAGUCUAUCCUGGACAUGGGCCUGUGGAUGGCUCUUGCCCUGGCAGGAAUCUGUGCCCACUUGCUUCCCUUCAUUGACUCCAUUGUCAGUGCCACACAUAGCCAGGCAGAAGCAGAGCAUGGCCAGGGGUGGGGCACUUAGUGUCUGACUCUGGCUUGCUCCAGAAACCCAAUUUCCAGAGCCCUCCAAGCUCUUGGCUGACGUCCUACAGUGGACUAGAAUUUUAGACCAACAUUCAGGAGCCUCACCCUUGGUGGCCAGAAAACACAGACUCAGAUGCAACAGAAGAAGAAGGCACUAGAAAGGUAAAAAAAAAAAAAAAAGUGUGUAUCUUACAAUAAGAACUGUGUAUUUUUUCAUAAAAUAAUCUUAUUGCUUGAAGGGGAAAAAUAAAAAAAAUCAAUAAAACAACAGAAGAAAAGAAAACAUUGAGAAAGCAGACAAAUAGCUUAUUGCUAACUUUUGGUGCUCUUCACCCCAAAAGAAAAGUUUGCUGUUCAUAUAAACAGAGAUGCUCACAAUUGCAGAAGGUCUGCAAAUACCACAGGACUCCCCAAGAGCUUCUGUUUGACUCUACAAUUUAAUUUAACCUUUACCUUUAUCUGGGCUUAUUUGGUGAAUGGGGAUAAAGAAAGAAAAUGAGAAAAAUCUCUGUUUUGAAAAGUGACACAGGAGAUUGGUGUGAUUUUCAUGAGAGGCUGAAAGUCUUGUGAUGGAAGUAUGACAGGGACUCUGAGGAAACCAUCUGAUUGACUUUGCAUCCCUGGUUUCUCCCACAGGGCUUGACUUGUGGCACUGGUUUAUAUUUAUUGGAAGUUGUAUUUUGGGUGCAAUCAACAUGAAUUUGAGCCAUUUAAACACACCAAUUCUUUAAGAGAUUUUCAUUUAUUCCUUGUAUUCAUUUCUUCAGUGGGCAAAUAUUUAUCAAAACAUCAACCACAUGAGACCAAAAGUACAUACAUAACGAAUGUCUAUGUGAUUCUAGCCUAAAUUUUGUGUGGAUAAUCCAGAAAGUGAAAAUGAGGUGAUACUGUAUAUGGAGGUUAUUUAGUAUAUUGAAAGAUGAAAAUGUGAAUCAAAAAUUGUUAUUAUUUGUGAUGUUGGUGUUGGAGUCUGUAACAAGUCAAAAUAACAGCUGGCAUUUUGCCAGGGGAAUGUUAGAGUUCUUAAACAAGUCUGGAUGGUGCCUGGCAAAAUGCCAGAGGGAGUGGUUUGAGAAGUAACAAAACUGAGCCAUUAAGUGUGGAGAUUCCUGAUUGGUUGACUGAUGUAUCUAGUUUAUGCUAAUUAGAUAAGCUGUGUGGAAUGUAUAAAUACUGCUCCUGUCCUACAAAAAAACGGCUCCCACUCCUGCUGUAUCAAUCUACGCAAGUUGUUCGUCACCCCCCGGUUAUUUUGCUGCAGCCGGACUGCGGCAGUUGGGAUUCAAAUCCAAGGCCUCAUACAUGCAAGGCAAGUACUCUACCACUGAGCUACAUCCCCAAUUAUUUAUCAUUUAUUUCACAGAAGUUUGCUUCAUUACUCAAAAAUGUUAUAUAGUUCACCUCCCUAGGACAGUGAAGACAUAAUCUUAUUUAAAGCCUAUCAGUUGCAUAGAAUGACUCCAGAACAUUCUAGAAAAUGCCUCCCUUCUUUUGAAUCCCAUGUGGGUGACUUGCAAGGCACUGCUCCUUCUCUCCAACCUCUGAGAUACUUCCUUCAAUUAUGUGAAUACUUCCUUAAGAGUGGCUUGGGUGGAUUCUGUUUUCUUGUCUUAUAUCCACUCAUUUUAAACAUGUGUUAUGAAAUCUUAAGACAAGAAAAUGCAAAGAAUAAUGCAACAAUGUCCCACACACCACCACUCACCUUAACUAUUAAAUAAUUACCAAUAAAACUGAUGCUCCUGCUUAUCCAUCCUAGCGGCAUCUCACUUCCUCCUAAUACCCAAUGACACAACCACUAUCUUAAAUCCAGAUUUGAUAAUUAUCAUUUCCCUAUCAUUCUUUGUAGUGAUACUAAAUAUCUAUGCAUGACUAAAUCAUUAUUUCAUACUUAUUUUUCUAUGUUUUCAUACUUGAUUAUAUUCUAUAGUACAUAUUCUAUAACUUGUUACAUCAACAUUGUUUAUUCAUUAUUAUGUUGGUGAAAUUCAACCAUGAUGAUAGUGUUGCACUAUAUGAAAUUUCACAACUUACUUAUACAUUCAAUUGAGAGGCAUUUAGUGUUUUAGCUAGGUAUAAAAUUAUAAAUUGAAUUUAUUUCUCAUGGCCUUUGAGAAAUCUGCAAUUGUUCUAAUUUUAAUUUCUUUGUGAUUGUCAUUCUUUUAUAUUUUUGAAGGUGCUUUUUCUGUCUAUUUUCAGGAGUAUACAUUUGUCUUUGGUGAUCUGCAGAUCACCAUGGUAGAGAUAUAUUUGUCAUAAUAUGUUUAGUCAUGAAUAAAAAUAUUGUUGGCGGGCAUUUGCUUCCUGAAUCUGAGGAUUCAUGGUUUUUAUCAAGGACAUAUUUUUGGUCAUUGUGUUUAAAAAUAUUGUCCCUCUGGAGCUCCAAGUAGACGUAUAUUAAGUUUCAUUUUAUUUUCCUUUCCUGUUGAAACUUUUUUAUAUUCUUCAUUUCAUUGGCUCUAUUCUUUAUGUUCCAUAAAAUUAAACAAAUUCUUUCUUCUAGUUUAUUACUUCUACCUUCCACAUUCAUUCCAAUUUGCUUUUAAAUCACUAUUAAUUUUGAUUUCAAUAAUAGCUUUUUUCACUAUAUUUCAAUGAUUAUAUUUUAGUUUCUGGAAGUCCAAUUUGGCUCUCUUUUAAGACUGGAUUUUUUUAAAUGUCUUGUUGUUUCUCAAAAAUGCCAAUAUAUGACAUCCUAGAGAGUAUACUCUUGUGUUUUAUUUCUACACACUCUCUUUUGGUGGUCUGUUUCUGUAAGUAUAAUUUUGAGUUGAGAACUUACAUUUUGAUUGCUGAAAGUCUGGCUGGGCAUUUGUUACUUUUACAUUUGCUUCUGCCAUGCACUUUGGCCCACUACCAAAUUAGGAUAGCAUUCAGUUAGUACUUUGGCUGUAACUUUCCAAACACUGGGGUUUGUAUAAAUUUGAGUCUUAAACUCAUGGAAUAGCCCUGUAUUUAAAAAUGCUCGGUGGGUAGGCAGGUGUAACAGAUUUAGAAAAUAAAGUGGGGAGGUGCCCAGUUAAAUUUGACUUUCACAUAAACAACACAUGAAUUGGGAUUUCAUAUUAAGUUUGUCCCAUGAAGCAUUUGUCCCAGAUUUUAUCUGCCUACUGAUGGCUGGUGGAUGGAGAGGCUUUAUUUUUAUAACCAGAGGGGAAGCUGAUACAGAUAAAUCUCUGUAUUAUCUUUCAUCGUAGGUGAAUAGACAUCUCACCCCACUUCCAACCCACCAUUUCAUGAAGCACCUAGUUUUCAAAGGCCUUGGGUUUUGUGGGCAUUAGUUCCAGCAAUCCUCCAGGUAAAGCCCUUGUGUCCUAUUCCCCAGAGACUCUAUGUUCUUGGGAUGGGAAAAUUCCAUCAAUAGUUAAAGAUCCAGCAUUUGUUUUCCUCUAUGUUUAGUUCUUUCUUUUUAAUUAAUUUGGUUGGUUGGUUGGUUCUUUUAGCUCCUAGGAUUUUCCCCUUUCUUUCAAGUGAGAUAUGCAUUAAGAAGGGUGUUUGUUGAAUUUUAGCCAUUACGACACUGGAAGCAGAAGUACUUCUAUUCACUCUUUAACCAAGUUAGCCAAUUCCCUGAUCUUAUCACUGACCUAAAAUUGCUCUUUGAAAAUUCUGCCAUAGAUGUUUUAUUGCUAAAUUCAAUUGCUGCUUCCUGAAAGUUACCCACUUCAAAAAGCUCCUGUUUCUUGGCCAAAUUGUUUCUUUCACCAACUUCUAUUACUGGAGUUUUUUUCUUAAUGUUCCACUUCUCUGACUGGUUAUUGUUCCUCUUUAAUGGCUGUUUUCCCUAUUACUGCUUCUUGAGUAUGCACAUGGCUCUUGGACCAUUCAUACACAACCAUGCUAGUAUCCCAGUAUCUAAACUCUGCAGUUCAGUGUUUGUAUUGUUUUUUUUUUUUUUUUUUGGAGGGGGGUAUCUUUCUAAAAGAUCAUAUGGCUAUUCUUGCCCUUGAAAACUUUCAAUAACUUUUGAUUUUCAAAAUAUAUAACCUUAGCAUUAAAAUCCUCCCGUAAUAUGAGUCUACCAGCACCCUCAAUUAUCAAACCCUCUACUUUUUACCCUCUGCUCCAGUCACUGUAUACUCUGCAUUUAGGACCAUGAUGCGGUUUUACUGGUUUCUCUCUGCUCAUAAAUCUAGAGUACAUGCUGUUCACUGCCUGUACAGUCUUCCCUCUGUAUCCAUGAGUUCUGUAUUCAUGAAUUCAACCAACACAGGAUCAGUAUUCAGAAGAAAAGAAUUGCACUGUACUAAACAUGCUAAAUUUCUUCUUGUCCUUUUUCAGUGAUACAGUAAAACUAUGUAACAUUUAAACUAUAUUAGCUAUCCCAAUAAUCUAGUUGAUUUGAAGGAUAUGAGAUGAUUGUGCAGAUUACUGUGCCACUUUAUGUAAGGGAUUUUAGCAUCGGCAAAUUUUGGUAUAUACGGGGGUCCUAGAAACAAUCCUGGAAGACACUGAAGGAUGACUCUAUAUUGAAAUCAAACUUUCUUUGAAGUUGGACUCAGAUUUCAAUUUGGUGAAGGUUUGCUCUAUUCCCAUCUCCAAUUGGAUACUCACUUAGCACUUAAUUCAUGCUUUCCCUGCAAAUGUCACAUGCGUUGCACUUAUCAUAAUUAUUUGUGUGGAUUUGUGUCUCUGUAUGUGUGUGUGUGUGUGUGUGUGUUAUUGUAAAUUCUUAGGUACACACUCUCUUUUUUGUCUCAUUACCUUAACUUGGAGCUCAAUACUGUACAUUUGAUAGCCUCCCAUAAAUUUGUUGUAAUUUAAUUAAGCUGCUUAUCUUCAGUGGUUAUGAGGACAUAUUAGACAGGACUUAACACAAUCAUACUAGGUUUUUAUUUUAGAAGUGAAAAUCACUGUGGAAACAUUGCUAAAGCUGCCUUUUCAAUUUGGAAGAGUAUUUCCCUUAAUCUCCUGUGUUAUCAAAGAUCCAUUUUCACCUUGGGUCUGGCAGUUUGGUGGUUAUCCGACUAGGGAUUCUUAUAACUUCAUGAAAAAGUACCCCCAGAAAACACUCAGUAACCUCUAUGGCCUUUGAAAUAUGUUUAUUAAUUUUCCCCAAAUCCCCCCUUUCUUCUUUCUCUACUUUAAAAUUAUCACACAGCAUAAACUAAAAUAGAGGUAGGCAGCUUAUGUGUUCUAACAGAUUGGACUGUAGUUUGUAAGUAUUUGUAACAUCUGUGAAUCUCUCCUUCCUUUUUCUCUGUCUACAGACAGUUGCCAAGUUUAGAAAAUAAAAAUGAAAGACAUCCAGAUAAAUUACUAUUUCAGGUAAAAAAUGAAUAAUUUUUACUGUACAUUCUAAUAUCGCAUGGGACAUAAUUACAUUAAAAAAGAUCACUGUUUAUCUGAAAUUCAAAUUUAACUCCUCUAUAUUUUAUCUGGUAACCUGAUGUCUGUACCAGUUCCAGCUUCUUGUUCCUUAUCACCAUAAUCAUUUAAAAAGUACACAAAGGGUUUCUGCAUUCAGAAAUGAGGAGUCUAUAAAACCGAUUUUCCUUGGAAAACAAUCAAAGAAAGAUUCCUUAGCUUGCAAAUCUUAAGUGUUGAGAAGGAUGUGACAGAGCAGCAGGGUAAUUAGUUCUAAGGUGGGUGAUGAAAAAUUAGUUCUGUAGCAAAACACUGGUCUCAGCUGUGGCAGUUCAAGGGCGUAGAGUACUUCUGGUAAUUUUUCCAGUACAGCUAACAUACUGUGGCAGGCACAUCUGAGUGACACAACAUUCUGGAACUAAGUAAAAAUGCCUGGGAGAAAACCUGAGUGUGUAUGUGUUGAGUUAAACAGCCCUUUGUUAUGAGGGCGUGGAAAGGGGGCCAGAAUAUUGUGCUGAAAUGGAAACUAAUUGAUGGACAGUAUAAUCACCACCUUAGUUAGCGCCCGGGGACUCUUUUCAUACCAGCAAGCUGUAAAUUUAAAUGGAAACCAAAAGGAUAGUACACCGCCCACAGCUCCACGUUCCAUUACUUCAUGUAGGAAAUAUUCAGCGAGUAAGAGAGAGGCUUACCAGAUAAUAGCUGCAGAGGAGCUGCAUGGUGAUUAAGGUAAGACCGAAGUGGCUGGUAAAAAAUUCUCAAUUUAACAGUGGACAGAUAAGAUUGCCUAUUUGAAGGAUUAAACUCUAUUCUUUGCUCAGAAUGAUUCAGUUCAGUUCUGUGUGUUGAACAGCACAGUGAUCUCUUAUCUUAGACUAGCCCUGGACAAGUGUAGUCUUUUAGAGAUUAUGUGAUUUGGAGAAAGAUGGAUCUAUUCAUGAGUCCAAUCCAUCAUGGUGAAUUUAUCUUUUAAAUGCUUGCUCUUUGGUAUCUUGUAAGUACAUGAGUUUUAUAAUCAGUGGGUUCAAAUCCCACUCGACUCUGCCCCUUGAGCCAUGAUAGAAAUUAUGAGCCUCCAUUUAUUUGUACAGAAAUGAAGCAGAUGCUAUCUAUUUCUCAGGGUUGGGAGUAUAGAUUAACUGGGCUUAUUAGAUGCAAAAUGCUUGGGGUUUAUUAAUUGCUUCAUGGAAGGCUGCUUUACCCCCUUCUUAUCUGUGUGAUUUCUUACCUUCAGCUCUUUGCUUGAGGUCUGAUGCGAGGGAUUCUGCAUGUCUUUUUAGAGUCAAACACUUCCUGCCCAUAUUCCUUGAAUCUUUUGAGACCCUUGCACACUACAGAUGGGGAGGCAUGUUUGCCCUAGGCUUGAAGUAGCAGAGGGCUUCCCUCUUCCAUGCCUACUCCAGUCAGCCGGCACUACCACCUGAAUUAACGUGUUGAGAAAGGCCGUGAGGCUGCUUAGGGUUUGGUGACAGAGCUCCCUGGGUGGUUGACAAGGACUGCUGUCUCCACAGCAAGGGCUUGCUCAUAUCUGUGCUAUGUGUUGUGUGACUUUCUCCUUGGUCAGGUUGUGAAGGAGACAGUUUGUCUUCAGGACUUUGUUUAUCCUAUCCUUUCCAUCACUUUUGGUGCCAUCUUCCCCAAGUCCACUAGUCUGAAUCUACUGGCCGUGUCACAGAGAAAAUGAAGGGCACACUCAUUCAUUUCUGUUAGGACCUGGGGGCUUAAUAAUCAUCUCCUUCUGAGAAGUAUUUUGAAGAAAGGUACAGAUGCAAUGAACCAGCUGUUUCUACCAGGGUCCAUAAGCAUCCCUAUGCAGGAGGAUUACAGGGGGAAAGAAGAUGCUUCUCAAAACCAGAUCUUAAGCCCUUACCUCCCAAAACAGACAGAUUCAAGGAAUCUGUAGGUGUGUGUGUGUGUGUGUGUGUGUUGUGUGUAUAAUAUAUAUAUAUAUAUAUAAAGAUGAAGAUUCUUUAAAGUCCCACUGCAUUCAGGUGCUUAUGUGAAUGAAUGAUUUCAUAGUUUCUGGAACGGCCAAACAAGGCCAAAUACAUUCCUUACUUUUGGUCAUUGCCUGGCUUCCCCUCAUUAUUGUUCCAAGUCCUUAACUUAGACUUCUAUUAAGAAAUAAGUUUUCCUGAAAGAACCUAAGGGUGAUAACAUGGAUGAGAAAAUUUGAAAAGUGAUUAAAGAAAUGAGAAAGAAAAACAAUAUCAUGAUGAGUAUAAAACAUACAUUCCAGAAGGUGGGCAGUCUUUGAAGGAGAAGGAGUAAGACCAAAGACUAAUGGAUACUUUCACCCAUCAGAUAUUUAGACAUUAUGCUGAAUGAUAAUUUUUUAACAUAGCAACAUUUUCCCCUGAUUAUCAUCAUAGAGAUUUUGCAAAAAUGUGGCGAACAUUAAGGAAAUACAAUAUCUAAUAAUUCCACAUUAACAAUUGAACAAUUGACCCCAGUUACUUACAAUUUUGGCACAUUUACUUCUAGUCUUACUUUCUUCUGUAUUGACACUUACAAAUUUGCACCUAAACUAUUAAUGCUGGCAACCCUUGGAUUUUUUUUUUAAUUUACUCAAGGAUGCAAAGUGAGGUGGCCUUGUUUUUUCUCAAUUAUAUUAACUUGAGUCCUCAACAUUGCACUUAUUAGAAAGUGUCCCUCAGCCACUUCUGAGAGUUUUCAGAGCCUUAUCCUUAUCAAUGCUUUUCCUCCCUUUCACGCAACUGGCUGCAUCUGCUGCUGCUGUUGCUGCCUGUGUGUCAAAAUUGAUGGUUCCUCCUUUGCGGAUCACUACUGAGAGUACUGCAGCAGUUUGGGAAACAGGAUGCUGCUCAUCCCAUGUCUUUUUCCUCCAAUUCUUGAAGUAGACCUUCCAUAAUUUUCCAAUGCACACCUGGGACCAGGCUAUAGCUUUUCCAGAAAAAAAAAAUUACUGAAGUUUAGGGAAUACAGAAGCAAAAUAUAAUACAUAAUUUAACUUACAAUUGCUUCUACAAGUUCCCAUUCUUCAAGUUCCAGUGGUCUGAGCCUCAAAGAAAAUGAGAAUCCCCUCCACCAGGGCAUAAGAGUUACCCACUUUGGUUUUCAUUGAUUGCCUCUUUGUUAACCCCUUUCCAGAAUGAAUGGCGGUAUGAGUCUCUACUCCCUUCAGAGAUUGAAACACCCCCAAUCCAACCCACAGAGGUUGGUCCACCAGGUCAUGGGGAUAAAUAAUUCAGUCUUACUGGUCUUGGGGAACAUCUCCUAAAGUCUAAGUUGUUGCUGCUUCAAGUACAACAUGGAUCUUGACCUCCAUAUCUUCAAAGUCACAAGAGAAGAUCAGGCCUCUUCAACCAAACUGCAUAUUUUGCAAAGAAUUGUUGCCUGAACAUCACAUCUCUUUAUGAUCAAGUAAUGAUUUGAAUGUAUAAGGCCAUGUAAGUCCAGGCUUGGCAAAGAAACAUUGUCUAAAGAAAGCAGUUUUGGGGGUUAUCAAAUACAGCUGUUUGACAUUUAUUAAACAAAACAUCUUUGUCAGACUCUUACGCUUGUAGGUUGCUUCAAUACAUUUAUGUAUUGAUUCUUGUUUUACAUUGUAUGACUUGAAGGAACCACACAUAAACCAGGAAAAGUUUUUCCAAACAUAAAGCAAGAUACCACAUGCAAAUUUUCAAACAGUAGUUUUAAAAAUAAGUCUUCAGGUCAAAUUUCCACUUGUUAUAUGGCAUACACAUUUGCAUAAUUGAAAGUCAAACUUUACAUAUAAUUCUGUUAUUUGCAUUCUGUAACUUAAUUUUUCAUUGCACAUAUUUUCCAGUAAUCAUUAUUUUGAAAACAUAGUUUUUAAAUGAUUUUGUGAUCUUCAAAUCUAUAGUUAAUAUAACUAACUAUUAAUUUGGGAUACUUAUG